CCCACGCGGCCGCACCGCAGCAGCCAGCAGCAGACUCCCAUCCCAUCCUUAUCCUCUUCCACCCUUCCUCCUCGAGUCUACUCACCACAACACUUCCUCUCGAGCCAUAGCCAGCCAGCAAGCUAGUGAACCCCGGCAGCGGGCAGACGGAGCGCGACGCCGCCCCGAACAAGCCGAGCCUCCGCGGCUUCGAGGUGAUCGACGCCGCCAAGGCCGCCGUGGAGCGGAGCUGCCUGCGCACCGUCUCCUGCGCCGACAUCAUCGCCUUCGCCGCCCGCGACAGCAUCAGCCUCACCGGCAGCGUCUCGUACCAGGUCCCCACUGGCCGCGCGCUGUGCCCGGCGAACACGACGCGGGAGACGCCGAUCACGACGGCCAUGGACCCCGGGACGCCCAACGUGCUGGACAACAACUACUACAAGCUGCUGCCCCGCGGCAUGGGGCUCUUCUUCUCCGACAACCAGCUGCGCGUGGACCACUCCACCACGGAAGAUGUUUAAAGCCAAGCCAGCAGCAGCGCGCGCGGUGGGAAGAGACAGACGAGCGAGCAGGAGCACAUGUGGCCCGAGGCAAAGCACGCGCGGCGCGUUGGCCAGCAGCUCGCGCGGUAGUGCACGCGACGCCGGCAACUUCCGCAAGCUGCUGGAUGGGCAGCUCAAGAAGCUCGUGGCCACGGGGAAGCUGACCCGUGUGAAGAACUCGUUCAAGCUGGCCGCCGCCGGACGGGAGCUGGCCUAGGGUGAUUUUUUUCUCUCUUUUUUUUCUUAUUUUUCAGAAAUAGAUAUCAUGUGGGAUUGUGUGGAUUGGAUCUAUCUUGUAAACAAUUUUUUGGAUGAUUUGUGGAACGAUUCUUUGGAGCAUGUGGUUGAUUGGAGUAUUUUGUAUCAAUGGAUUUAAUAUUUUGUGAACGAUUCUUUGAAA
Long non-coding RNA from Panicum virgatum (switchgrass), 921 nucleotides. RefSeq lists it as uncharacterized. NCBI's taxonomy places the organism in Eukaryota, Viridiplantae, Streptophyta, Magnoliopsida, Poales, Poaceae. The record is from RefSeq and is a predicted model, not a curated record. The transcript has 2 exons.